Molecule: ribosomal RNA, 253 nt
Filed under: uncultured bacterium
Lineage: Bacteria
Description: partial 16S ribosomal RNA
Rfam family: Bacterial small subunit ribosomal RNA
Source: RNAcentral
UACGUAGGGGGCAAGCGUUGUCCGGAAUCAUUGGGCGUAAAGAGCGUGUAGGCGGCCCGGUAAGUCUGUUGUGAAAGUCCAGGGCUCAACCCUGGAAAGCCGAUGGAUACUGCCGGGCUAGAGUUCGGAAGAGGCGAGUGGAAUUCCUGGUGUAGCGGUGGAAUGCGCAGAUAUCAGGAGGAACACCGAUGGCGGAGGCAGGUCACUGGGCCGCAACUGACGCUGAGGAGCGAAAGCAUGGGGAGCGAACAGG